This 261-nucleotide ribosomal RNA is filed under the name uncultured bacterium. RNAcentral describes it as "partial 16S ribosomal RNA". It matches the Rfam family "Bacterial small subunit ribosomal RNA", at positions 793 to 1055 of the family's 1533-position model. The record is from RNAcentral.
GUCCACGCCGUAAACGUUGGGCACUAGGUGUGGGUCCCUAUCGACGGGAUCCGUGCCGUAGCUAACGCAUUAAGUGCCCCGCCUGGGGAGUACGGCCGCAAGGCUAAAACUCAAAGGAAUUGACGGGGCCCGCACAAGCGGCGGAGCAUGUUGCUUAAUUCGAGGCAACGCGAAGAACCUUACCUGGGCUUGACAUGUAGGGAAAAGCCGCAGAGAUGCGGUGUCCUUAUGGGCCCUACACAGGUGGUGCAUGGCUGUCGU